UUUUAUCACCAAUAGAGUAUUUUUAAAAUUUUAUUUCCCUUACCAGUCAAAGGUUUACCACAUUUUCCGAUCAGAUCAGACAAUGUUUGCAAGAAGUCUGUUUUGCGACGAUACAAAACGAGUAAGAACAAGAUAACAUCAACAUUAAUGACCAUGUAAACUCUGACUGCAAUACCAGGGGGUUGGUUUUGUUAAUAUUAUGUUUCUCACAUUGAUGAAAAAAAAAAUUCUGUUCAAGCUGAGAACAAAAAACAAAAAUUCUGACUCCCAAUGCCUUAUAGU
RNAcentral lists this long non-coding RNA (282 nucleotides) under Mytilus galloprovincialis (Mediterranean mussel). The record is from RNAcentral. Lineage: Eukaryota; Metazoa; Mollusca; Bivalvia; Mytilida; Mytilidae.